This 753-nucleotide ribosomal RNA is filed under the name Triticum aestivum (bread wheat). Its description in RNAcentral is "partial small subunit ribosomal RNA". Lineage: Eukaryota; Viridiplantae; Streptophyta; Magnoliopsida; Poales; Poaceae. The record is from RNAcentral.
AUGUCUCGCUCCGGGUGCCUCGCGGUGCUGCUGCUCCUGGUGCUCGCCGCCAGGGCGGCCGCGGCGAUCAAGCCACUGGAGGAGGAGCCGCAGGGCGGCAAGUGGACGGACCAGCUCACGGCGGGAGCGGCGAUCAAGCCGUCGGAGGAGCAGCCGCAGGACGGCAAGCUGGCGGACCACGUCGCGGCGGGAGCGGCGAUCAGGCCAUCGGAGGAGCAGCCGCAGGACGGCAAGCGCCUCACGGCGAGAGCGGCGAUCACGCCAUCGGAGGAGCAGCCGCAGGACGGCAAGCGCCUCACGGCGAGAGCGGCGAUCACGCCAUCGGAGGAGCAGCCGCAGGGCGGCGUGCGGGCGGGCCACCUCACGGCGGCCAAGGGCCUGCUGGGGGAGGAGCCCGCCGCGCGGCUGGCGUACGUCCGGACGGAGGAGAAGAAGGACAGCGAGGAGGCGGCGACGAUGCCGUUGGAGGGGAUGAAGCCCGGCGGCGGCGUGGCGAUCCAGCAGGGCGGCGACCCGGGCACGGUGCCGUCGGCGUCGUCGGGGAGCGGCGAGCACGCGAAGGAGGAGAGCGGCGAGCACGCCGGCAAGGAGGGGAGCAGCAGCACCAGCAAGGAGGGGGAGAAGUCGGCCAAGAGCUGCCUGACCAAGGAGGAGUGCCACAAGAAGCGCCUGCUCUGCGGCAAGGGCUGCACCAUGUCCGCCCACGCCAAGUGCGCCGCCAAGUGCUCCAAGUCCUGCAUCGCCACCUGCUAG